GACGAACGCUGGCGGCGUGCCUAAUACAUGCAAGUAGAACGCUGAAGGAGGAGCUUGCUUCUCUGGAUGAGUUGCGAACGGGUGAGUAACGCGUAGGUAACCUGCCUGGUAGCGGGGGAUAACUAUUGGAAACGAUAGCUAAUACCGCAUAAUAUUGACUAUUGCAUGAUAGUUGAUUAAAAGGUGCAAUUGCAUCACUACCAGAUGGACCUGCGUUGUAUUAGCUAGUUGGUGGGGUAACGGCUCACCAAGGCGACGAUACAUAGCCGACCUGAGAGGGUGAUCGGCCACACUGGGACUGAGACACGGCCCAGACUCCUACGGGAGGCAGCAGUAGGGAAUCUUCGGCAAUGGACGGAAGUCUGACCGAGCAACGCCGCGUGAGUGAAGAAGGUUUUCGGAUCGUAAAGCUCUGUUGUAAGAGAAGAACGAGUGUGAGAGGGAAAGUUCAC
Molecule: ribosomal RNA, 452 nt
Filed under: Streptococcus sp. oral taxon 058
Lineage: Bacteria; Bacillati; Bacillota; Bacilli; Lactobacillales; Streptococcaceae
Description: bacterial SSU rRNA
Rfam family: Bacterial small subunit ribosomal RNA
Source: RNAcentral